AGCAGCCGCGGUAAUUCCAGCUCCAAUAGCGUAUAUUAAAAGUUGUUGCAGUUAAAAAACUCGUAGUUGAAUUUCGGGAUUCAUACGUUGGUCGGGCUUUUUGGUCUGUACUUAUGUAUGGAUUCCUACCUUCUGAAUAACCGGCAUGCCAUUAAUUUGGUGUUUUGGGGAAUUUGGCUGUUACUUUGAAAAAAUUAGAGUGUUUAAAGCAAGCUAAACGCUUGAAUACAUUAGCAGGAAUAAUGAA
RNAcentral lists this ribosomal RNA (247 nucleotides) under uncultured Glomeromycotina. Its description in RNAcentral is "partial small subunit ribosomal RNA". It matches the Rfam family "Eukaryotic small subunit ribosomal RNA", at positions 569 to 821 of the family's 1831-position model. The record is from RNAcentral. Lineage: Eukaryota; Fungi; Glomeromycota.